This 298-nucleotide long non-coding RNA is filed under the name Mytilus galloprovincialis (Mediterranean mussel). Lineage: Eukaryota; Metazoa; Mollusca; Bivalvia; Mytilida; Mytilidae. The record is from RNAcentral.
UAGGAUGAAACUGGGCACUGUAGUUUUGCAUUGGUAAAAUUCGAUUUUUUUCUUUUGCUCAUAUUCAAACGUAUGUAAUUGCAGUCUUAAAAUAAAUAGCUGAAGUACUCCGUAUUUAUAUGAAAGAUUCACGAGAUUUACCUUUGAACUUUUUUAGUAUGAAACCGUGAAACUUCGAAUCAGCUCCCUCAAAGCAAAUAAUGAUUUUACCGGUUAUAUAUUUAAUAUAUAAAACGUAGUUAUAUUUUUUUACUUAUGUUUUGUUGCAAAGCAGUUAUAAUAUCAACAUUAUUUAUUA